CUCCAUUCUGUGCAGUCCUGCCCAUCAGUCCCUCCACUACGGCAAACCCACCCCGGGCUGAGACCUGACAUGCCCGGGGUGUCAAAAGAGGCUGUCAUCCCAUGAGUGCAAGGUGCCCAGGCCUGUGCCACCCUAGAGCAUGGUCUCUGGAUCUUGGGAGAAAGCUGAGCAUCACAGAACUGAAGAAGGUGGGCCACGCUCGGGAGACUGAGGGUCCCUUCUGCAAACUCAGCCAGACCUGCAUUAUGGGAAAGGCUCCCUGCUCUGCUCUUCACACUCAUGCUUUAGUCACGUCCUUCCAGCCCAUCUCUGGACUCAAGGAACAGCCAAGUUCCCUGGGGUGGAAUCGCCAAGACUGAAG
Molecule: long non-coding RNA, 361 nt
Filed under: Heterocephalus glaber (naked mole-rat)
Lineage: Eukaryota; Metazoa; Chordata; Mammalia; Rodentia; Bathyergidae
Description: lncRNA (ENSHGLG00100035672.1)
Source: RNAcentral